CCAUAGGCAAACAUUUGGAUACCAUUGUUACCAAGAGAGACAGCAGCAAGCUCAAGGUUUCCAAGGUGACCACAAAAGAUCUGAGUAGACAUGGAAACAACAUUAUUGAGCAAGUAAACUAUCACAGCUGGAGCUGCAAGGUGGAAAAGCAAUUUCAGUUCAACCCAGGAAGCUGAACGGAUUCUCUUAAAAUAUGGUGCUUCAGUAUCUGUUAGUAUUUGUUCAAGCUCAUCGCCCACUGUCUCAUCAUCAUGGUAAGAGAGUUUAAAGUCUAAUCUCGGAGGAUCAGUCUCCAUUAAUUUUCCUCUUCUAUUGAUCUUGUAAUUUGAGCUUCUGUAUCAAAUAAAUGCUUUGUCUUCAACAACAUAGCAUAGCUAUAGUAAUUAUAUCAUAAAGUUUAUAUGAGGAAGAUACCUGCAAACUCUCGAUCGGAUUCCUUUUUUCCACAUGACGUGGUCAACUUAUUACAAAAACAAUAAAAAACAGUGUGGUUAAUUUAGUUGAUAUUUUCGUCGCAUGUCCAUCAUCACACCAUUAUUUUUUCGAUCAGGCUUCAAGUUGUCGGGCUGAAUUGUUUUUUUUUAUAUAUAUAAAAUAAUAUUAAAAUAUUUAAAUGAGAUUAAAAAACAUAAAAAAAUAUUUAGGACAAAUAUAUAAUAACGCUGAUUAGAGUAUCUUUCCGAUUCAUAUUCAUUAUGUGAUUAGAAUAACUUUAUAAAAUAAAAAAUACAUAUAUUAUAAAGCCUUAAAAAUAUAUAUAUAAUUUUUUAAAUUUGUGAUCCGAGUAAUUAAACUUAAUUCAUCUAAUUUAGAAAAAUUACAAAUUCUAAUUCCUAAUAAAGAAAAUAUUAAAUGAUAAAAUUGAAAAAAAAUUAAUCUUAUUACAAAAGGAUUGAAAAAAUAGUAAUUCAAAAAAUAAAGAUUAAAAUCAUUAUUAUACUUAUUAUUAUUAAGUAAUAUCAUCAUUAUGAUUAUUAAAGUUACUGCCAUACAUUAUUACCAUACAUUAUUAUUAUUAUUAUUAUUAUCAUUACUACUACUACUACUACUCUACUACUAUUAUUAAAAAAAUAAAAACCAUAAACUUGAUUUGAAGAAUAGAAUUGAAAACUAUAAAAAUUUUAACAAAGAGGCCAAGAAACAAAAACAGAAAUCAAAAGAAAGUGGAUCAAAUUAAAAUUAUUAGUAUUAUCAUUAAAAAAAAUAAAAAAUCAUAAACUUGAUUUGAAGGGUAAAAAAAUAAAUAAGAAAAAUAAAGCAAAAGUACCGAAUCGAAACAUAUUAUUUAUACAAAUUAGAAAUCAAUGGUUAAAUUGAAAAUAAAUAAACCUUUAACCAAAAAAAAAUAACAAAAGUACUAAAAUUAAAACUAAAAUUAUUGAAUCUGAAAUACCAAUAACAAUGAGGACAAUAGUGCUUUUUUUGGGUUAGAAAAGAGAAACAAAGAGAGGAAAAAGAAGGGGUCGCCGACGAUAAAUCAGCAUAUUUUGACUACACGUGCCACCUAUUAUGGAAGAGGAGACGGCGAGGAAUAAAUAAUAUGGAGAAAACCCAUUUUUUUUCCACUGGCAGCUGACACACGCGUCGUCCAAAGUACGCGGCAGCUCCCACACGCCAGCAGUUUUUUCCUAUUAAAAAAUAUUAUUUUAAUAUUAAAUUACAUCAUUAUCCUCAACCAAACCAACAAUUAACAAAAAAAAAAAAAAAAAACCAAGACUAGACCAUAAUAUCACUAACCCUAAUGAAUUAAAUUUAUUUGAUCUAAGAGUACAUGUAUAAUCCUAUUGUGUAUAAAAAGAUAAAAAUACCUAAAUACCGCUACUAGAAACAAUUGAUUUUUUUUAUACUUGGAUAUGUUUUUGGUUAUUUUACUGUUUAUUUAAAUAUUAAAUUAAUAAAAAAACCCUUAAAAAAAUCAAUAAUAUCUAAUGCACCAUCUAAAAAUACCAAAAUACUCUUAGAUAAAAUCAAAGGCACUCAAUUUUCUAUGCCAAACCAUAAAGAAUCACAGUGAAUAAUGAGUUGUCUAUCGUUACGGGGAAAUCACAUUCCCUUUUUAGAAUAUUUGUUAUAUUAAUUGGGCCGUGCAACUCGUGAAUUCAUAAACAAGAUUAACAAAUAUAUUUAUUUAUAUUCUCAUGAAUAAAACAAAUCACGUUAAAAUGGUUGCGCGGAGAUGUUUACCCUUUGAAUAACAUCAUGGGAAGUUCUAUAGGAUCAUGUUUAGUACACAGUGCAGCAGCACGAUCGAUGCAAAUAAAUAGUAUGAAAGGUGAAAAAUGCAAUAUUAAACUAUAAAUUGAUAGUAUAAAAUUGUCACCUCGAAAUAUAUAUAUAUAUAUAUAUAUAUAUAUAUAUAUUGACACAGAGUAUAGUGUGAUAAAGAUUUAGGUUCUCAGUAUUAGAGGUUACAGUCUUAAACGGUACAACAAUUAAAUAAAUGAAAAUUAUAAUAUUUGUUAAAAAGUCCUUGAAUUAAUUAAUUUGAUAAAAAAAAAUAGCAUACCAACUAUUUAAAAAAACUGAUGUAUUCAAAAGAAUUUGAAGUUAAGAAAAAUAAUUAAAAUCCAAAAUUAACUAAAAAGAUAAUUAUUUAAAAAAAACAUGAUUUCUAGAUCUAAAUUAAAGACCUUCAUGACCUCAACUAAUUACUGUUAGAUCCAUUUUCUGCUCAAACUCCUGAUUAAAUUUGAGUUUCAUCUAAUCUAAUGAUUAGAUCUAAAGUUAUAGAUGUUUUUUUUUAAAAUAGAAAUGAAUGAGAAACAAAUAAUGAAAUCUAAUCCCCAACAAAUUCAAUAUUGAAGAAUGUAAUUAGAAAAAAAUCAACUGUAGAAAAAGACCUAAGAAAAAGAGAUAAGUCAAUCCGAGCUAACCUUCUAAAUACAUGACCCGGGUUUUAAAUUCGAGAUUGCACAUAGAAGGCAAACUCAAAAAAAUUAUGAAUCCAAAUAAAAUAUCAUGAAACAAGCAUCUCGUGCUUAUAUUUAAUUAAACAAUUUAAUAUAAUUCACGAAAAAAAUAUCUUUUUAAAAAAGCUUAAUUUAACAAAGAAUGAUAAAUAAAAAAACCUGAGAUAAUCCGGGUUAUUUUUAAAAUUAUCAAAAAAAUUAUAGAAAGCAAGUUAAAAUACAGAAGAAUGAAAUUGGGUCAAAAUGAUUAAAAAAAAAGAAACUCAAGUCAACCCAAAUUGACAUGACAAACCUUUAACCCAAGUAAUAAGAGUGGGAUAACUUAAUAAAAAGCAAAUAGAAAAACAAAUAACAAAACUCAAUUCCCAACAAACCAAUUGUUGAAUGAUGAAACUGGAAAGAAAUCAACAAAAAAAAGGAACCUAAAAAAUCAAAACCAAGUAAGACAACUAACCUCGUGACCCGAAUCAUGCUAAUAGAAUAACCCAAUAAAAUCCAAAACAUAAAAAAUUUUGAAGAUUAAUUUAUAAAAGAACUGGAUUUUGAAGGAUUAAAAAAAUAAAGUUUCAUUUAACAAAAAAAAUGGUCGCAUAAAAAUGUCAAAGCCAAACCAGGUUAAUUUGUCAAACUCGUAGCCUAAGUUAUGAUAUCGGGAUAACCCGAUAUAAAAGAAAAUAGAGAAAAUCACAAAGCUCGUUUUUUUAUAUAAAAAAAAAUAAUGUCGAAUGAUAAAAUCAAAAAAAAAAAUAAGUCUACAAAAACAAUGUUAACUAGCAUUAACUUCUCAAACUCAUGACCCAGGUCAUUAGAGCAGAAGCACCUCAUUUGAAAAAACCAUGAAACACAAUUCUCAACCAAUCAAGUGUUGAAGAUGAAAUUGAAAAAAAAAUAUAAAAACGGAUCCAAAACCCAAAAAAAUAACAAUUAAAAAAUGAGCAUCAAAAUUGAAAUAAAAAAAUAGAGGACAACUAAUUAAUAAUUUUUUUAUUAAAUGAUGAAAUUGAAAAGAAAAAUCAAUUUAAUAAAAAGACCAAAAACAACAAUCAAAUGAAUGAAAAUAUUUGAAAAACAUAUAUAUUAUAAAUAAAGAUUAAAGGAUGAAAUUGAAAAUACAUCAAAAUUUUAUAAAAGGUUCAAAAAAAUAAAUAAAAAAUCAAUGGAAUAAAAACUGAAGUUGAAUUAAAUAUCAAUAAAUAAAAGAGCAAUUUUAAAAUUUAGAAUGGUCUAUAGAAGAUGUAAGAACUCAGAAGCUUACAGUGUAAUAUUUCAACAUAAUUGUAUUGAUGCUUAGCCUAUUGUUUUAUACUCAAAUUACAUAUUCUUGUAAGGAAAGAUUACAGCAAUCAAAAAUAGUUAUGGACAUAAUAUUUGUAUUAAUUCACAAGCAUGAUUGUAGGCUUAGUUACUGCUGCAAAUCAUCUGCGGAUUUCUUGCAUCUGCAGAUUUCUUGCAUCUUCCUUAAUAUGCCCCCGCAAAAUUGAACUUCCAUCGGCAAGUCCAAUUUUGGAGCGUAAAAAUUCAGUGCGCGCCCGAGACAGUGGCUUGGUUAAUAAGUCAGCAAGUUGAUCUUGAGUGUGGACGUGUUUCACAUGGAAAGUACCCUUCUGAACUUGAUCACGCACAAAGUGAAGAUCAAUUUGGAUGUGCUUCAUUUUGGAGUGGUGAACCGGAUUAAAACUAAGAUGAGUUGCACCAAGAUUAUCACACAGUAGAGAAGGUGGCACUGUCAAUGGAAAUCCAAGUUCAUGAAGGAGUGCAAGGAGCCACAAUGUUUCUGAAGCACCAUUAGCAAGCGCGCGAUAUUCAGCUUCCGUAGAGGAUCGAGCAACAGCCCUUUGUUUUGUUGAGCGCCAGGAUAUAGGAUUGCAUCCAAGAAAAGUAAUGUAGGCCGAGGUGGACGUGCGAUCAUCAAUGUUGCCAGCCCAGUCAGCAUCACUGUAAGUUAUUAAACAAGGGGCAGCAGCUUUCCUAAUAUGGAUACCAUGAAAUAUUGUUUGCUUGAGAUAGCGAAGAAGUCUCUUGGUGGCUGCCCAAUGAGUGACCGUUGGCUUGUGCAUAAAUUGAGAAAGCUUGUUUACUGCAAAACAAAUGUCUGGACGAGUUAGGGAGAGGUAUUGCAGUCUACCAAUGAUGCGCCUGUACUCAGUGCUGUCCACUGAUGUUGUGCCAUCUAGCAGAUGAAGGGAUUGAGUAGUGGACAAUGGGGUAGAAAUCUCCUUGGCACCAGCCAUGUGUUGAUUCUCCAACAUGUCCCGGAUAUACUUGUGCUGGGAGAGAAAUAAACCGGCAGUGGUGGGAAUGACUUCAACUCCUAAGAAGUAGUGAAGUGAGCCCAUAUCUUUUACAGAGAACCGAGCACCAAGUGUGUUCACAACAUGACCUACAAACUGAUUAUCACUGCCUGUAAUCAUCAACAUAAACAAGCACAUAACAGAUAAGGGAGUCAUGACGAUAAAUAAACAAUGAGGAGUCAGCUGUAGAAAUCUGGAACCCGAUUUGCAGAAGGGAAUCCCGCAAGGCUGAGUACCACGCCCUAGGAGCCUGCUUGAGACCAUAGAUGGCUUUCCUUAAUCUGCAUACAUAAUGGGGUUUGGACAAAUCCUUGAAACCCGGAGGCUGCAUCAUAUAAACAGUUUCAGACAACAUGCCAUGUAAAAAGGCGUUAUUGACAUCCAUUUGUCUCAAGGGCCACCCAUUCAUAACAGCAAUAUUCAGCACUGUUCUAAUGGUUGCUGGUUUAACAACCGGGCUAAAGGUUUCGUUAUAAUCAACUCCAGGACACUGAUUAUAACCCUUUGCAACAAGUCGGGCUUUGAAUUUAUCAACCGAGCCAUCGGCCUUCCGUUUUAUGCGGAAUACCCACUUACAACCCACGGGGUUGCAGUCUUUGAGAGGUGGAAUUAAAUCCCAUGUACCAUGGCUCAUGAGAGCUGUUAAUUCACUGGACAUGGCUGCACGCCAUUCAGGGUGAGAUACAGCUUGGCUUACACAGGUUGGUUCCAGGAAAGGCGGAAGGGAAUGCUUGGACACAGUGUUUAAUUGUUUAGGUUUGAAAAUAUUAUUCAUCGAUCGAGUGGUCAUGGAGUGAUUACGGGAUGGAAUGUUGGUAAUUUGUGCGGGACAUGGCAGGGGGGAAGUAGAUGCAGGGGAGGUAGAUGCAGGAGAAACAUGUAAAUCAGAAUGGAGAUGCUCAUGAUGCAGAUUAGCAUUUGAUUCAGAAAUAGCAGGGGAGAGAGGGGGGGUAAUACCUGAAGAGGACGCAGAGGAGGCAGCAACAGUGUCCAAACUCGUUGAUGGCUCCAAUGGUGGAGUGGAAGUCGACGAAGAUGACGCAGGAACGAGAGGAGCAAGGGAAGGGAUUACAGGACAUGAAUUUAGUUUGAGGAACAAAUGGGUGUGGUUAGGCAGACGGGUGGAUGAUAGCUGAUCGGGUGGAUUUGUUUUUGAAACUGGACAAUUUGUUUCAUCAAACAGUACAUGUUUGGACACAUAAAUUCUAGAACUUAAGGGGUCGAUACAUUUAUAGGCACUUUGGGUUGGUGAGUAUCCUAUAAAGACACAUGGAAUGGACUUAGGCUGGAACUUAUGGGUGUUGUAUGGCUUAGUGAGAGGGUAGCAUAAACAUCCAAAUUUCCGUAAUUUGAGGUAAUUUGGUUGUUGACGGAAAAGAACUUCAAAUGGGGACUUGUUUUGAAGGAGAGGAGUGGGUUGACGAUUUAUGAGGUAAGUAGCAGUUUGAAAUGCAUGAGGCCAAUAAGACAGUGAUAAGGAGGCAUCAUGAAGCAGGGUAAGACCUGUCUCGACAAGAUGGCGAUGACGCCUUUCAGUAACACCAUUUUGUUGGGGAGUGUGGGGAGCAGUAGUGUAAUGACUUAUUCCAUGAUUGGACAAGUAAGUUUUCAAACCGAGAAAUUCUCCACCAUUAUCGGAGUACAAAGCUUUAAUGGUGGACUUAAAUCUUUUUUCCACCAGCAUUUUGAAUUGGGGAAAAAUGCUAGAAACCUGAGAUUUUGUAGACAUUGGAUAAAACCACAUAUAUUUGGUAUAAUGAUCCACAAAAAGAAGAUAAUAGCGUGCACCGCAAAUCCCAGUAAUUUGAGCAGGACCCCAAACAUCAGUAUAUAUAAUGUCAAGUGGAGAUUGACUUUGAAAACUUGUAGAACCAAAAGGAUGUUUAUGCGCUUUAUUUGUGGAACAAGAGGUACAUAACGAUGAGAAUGUUUUUGUGGAAACAGGAAGGGAUAAUUUGUUGACAAGAUGUUGAACAAUUUUAAUCGAAGGGUGUCCAAGACGUUUGUGCCACCCAUCAAGUGAAGUCCGUUCAUGCACAUAAGCAACUUUUUUUGGAGUGGGAGAAGCCACCAAGGAGUUUGGAAACAUAUAGACGCCAUUCUCACACGCACCUCUUAGAAGUAUUGCCCCCGUGGUUUUGUCCUUCACAAGAAAAAAAAAUGGAUAAAGUUCAAGAAAAACAUUAUUAUGUUUGGUGAAGUGAUGAACUGAAAUGAGAUUCUUGUGAAUAUGAGGAACACAUAAAGUAUCAUGUAAAUGAAAAGUUUUGGUAGGUGUGGGUAAAGCUAAAGAACCAAUAUGUGUAACUGCCAAACCUGUACCAUCACCAAGAAGAACCUCAUCAGUGCCGUCAUAUUCAGAAUGAAUAGAUAAGUUUUGGAGAUCACCCGUGAUGUUAUGAGAGGCUGCAGAGUCAAUUAACCAUUUUUUAUCUUGAGUAUCGGAGGAUCCAGCACAAUUAGCCGUCAUUGUAGAGGAUUGGAGUUUCGGGCAGAUCUUGGCUGUGUGACCCAAUUGAUCACAAUAUUGACAUUUAGGCUGGAAGCGCCGGUUUGAGUUGGAGCGGCCCGAAUUAUUAUUUCGCUGGCGGUCUCUAAAGGAGCCAUUUGAGGGGCGGUGUUGUCCUGAUUGGUGAAAAGAGCCAUUUCCUCUGUAGCUUCCUCUGGUUUGCUGAGAUACAGAGAAGGCGGUGUCCUUGUUGGCAAAUCGGUGGCUGGUAAAAUUUACAGCAGCCACGAGCUGCUGUGUAGCAGCCUCCAUCCUUCUCAAGUAACUUUCAUGCCCAACAAGCAUGUCAUGGAGUUCUUCAAAAACAAGGGAUUUUUCUCGUGCUCGAAUAGGAGCAGCAAUUUCACGAAAUUCUGGACCUAACCCAUGGAGGACAUAGAGGGUUAAGUCAUCAUCAGAGAUGGGGUGGUUAAUAAGUGCAAUUUCAUCAGCCAAGCUUUUGACCAUAUGAAGAUACUCUGAAAUCGGUCGAUUUCCACGCUGAAUCAAGGUUAGUUCUUCCUUGAGUUGCAUUGCCCUUGUACGCGAUUUACUUGCAUACAGUGUCGAUAAUUUUUUCCAUGCCUCGUGUGAGGUUUUGGUUGUGGCAAUGAGAGGUGUGAUUGAGGGUGAAGUGGAUGCAAGGAUGGCGCUAAGAAUUAGCUUAUCUUGCCUUACCCACCGGUUUUUUGUAGCUGUUGACUGUGGAGUACCAUCUGAGAGAGGGCACUGAGAUUCUCCAUUAACAUAGUCUAGGAGAUCAUAGCCGAUGAGGAGAGCCUCAAACUGUGCUCUCCAUUGAGGAAAAGAUGAGGGUGUGAGUUUCUCAUUGAUUUGAGUAGUGAUGUUGAAAAACACAAGGGAAAGUUCUGGAGAGGAGGUAGGCUGAUUUGUGAAAGACAUGGGGAUCAAAUUCUCGUUAGAGAGAUGAUGCUCUGAUACCAUAUAGAAGAUGUAAGAACUCAGAAGCUUACAGUGUAAUAUUUCAACAUAAUUGUAUUGAUGCUUAGCCUAUUGUUUUAUACUGAAAUUACAUAUUCUUGUAAGGAAAGAUUACAGCAAUCAAAAAUAGUUAUGGACAGAAUAUUUGUAUUAAUUCACAAGCAUGAUUGUAGGCUUAGUUACUGCUGCAAAUCAUCUGCGGAUUUCUUGCAUCUGCGGAUUUCUUGCAUCUUCCUUAAUAUGGUCAACUUGAAUUUUAAAAGGAAAAGAGAGAAAAAAAAAACACAUCCUGCGAUAAAUCAUCUCACCACCAAAACCAUGCACCAUCAUGGAAAAAAAAAAGAAAUUGCAGAUUCCAAUGACAUGUUAGAAGGAAAUUCUUGGCAGCCAAAAGAUGUAGCAUGCUCCACGAUGUCCCCCACUUUCGAGUAUAUGUUGCCACUUUUAUCUUUUUAAUUAUAUUUUAUAUUUAUUAAAAUAUAAAAUCAUUCAUUAACUAACUUGAUUAUAAUUAAAAAAUCAAAAUAAAAUAUAAAAGAUUCUUUGGAAGCCAAUUAAAAAAAAUAUGCUUUCAAAGGUAUUUUAUGAUUUCACUAUAUUUUUAAAAUAUAAAAAAAACUUAUUUAUUCAUAAUUAACCUGGUAAUAAUCAAUGAACUUUGCAAAAAGGUCAUAUAAUCCUCAAUUGUUAGUUCAUUGUUUUUUUCUUAUCCUGAAUAUUUUGAAAAUUUUUAUGAUAAAAUUAAUAAUCAAUUUUUAAAAUGAGGAAAAAAAAAACAGGCCGAAAGGAGGAUAAUUUCCAUGUGCAAUCUCAGUUUCAAUUACAUUGCACAUUUCAAAGAUCUCAUAAAUAGGAUUCAUAAACAAGAUUAACAAAUAUAUUUAAUUUACACUCUACAUUAGUUCGACGGGAAUAAAAUAAUUUGAUUUGAAUAAAAUACUUGUCUAAUUAGGUGGAGACUCAUAAAUAAAAUAUUACCAAUCACGUUACCCUUUGAGUUUUUCCAGAUUUGCAUUAUGGUCAAGAAGCACAUGAUGGGGAUUAUUUUAUAGGAUCCUGUUUUGUAAACGGUGCAGCAGCACGAUGCCAAUAAAUAAUGUGAAAGGUGGAAUACACGCGCAUAUAAUUACAAAAAUGCAGUAUAAAACUAUAAAAUUGUUUAAAAAAAUAAAGAUUAAGUGCAUGUUCAGAAUAAAAAAUUAAAGGAUAAAUUCAUAUAUUUUUAUAUAUUUAAAAUACAACGCAAGUUGUCUAUUUAUAAAAAAAUUAUUAUUUGAAUGACGUUGCAGCCACUUCAACUCUAAACAAAUCUUCUGUAAAAAACAAGCAAGAUGAAGAUUUCAAAGAUAUAAAUAUAGAUUGUAUAAUAUUUCCUUUUAAAUGAUCAUGUAUUAAAAAUAUAUUUCAUUAAAAUCUUGUAAAAGAUUAAAGAAAAUUUAACAAGAAAAAAACUCGAAUGUGUUUACUUUUUUUUUUAGAUUAAUGUGGUAUUUGGGCUAUUUUACGCGCAUCUCGACUAAUCCCAUGAACCCUGAAGUUAACGACUAUAUAAGUCUCCAGUAGUCGUGAGAUUUAUGAGACUUGAACUAAUAAUCUAUAAAAAACAAAUUUAGAAUCUGACUAAUUAAGAUAGACUCCUCGUAAUUAUAUUUAUUUUAUUAUUAUUAUUUGAAUGACGUUGCAGCCACUUCAACUCUUAACAAAUCUUCUGUAAAUAACAAGCAAGAUGAAGAUUUCAAAGAUCUCAGAUUCUCUCUCCUUUCUUUUUCUAAUGUACUACCAUCUUUCCAAUAAAUAAUAAGCCAAGGCUAAAUCUAAUCAUUCAAAGCUCAAAUUAAUCACUAAGCUUUCUCCUAUAUAUAUUUUGAUGGCGUCAACCGCAGAAAGAAGCAGAUAACAACAACACUAGAAUUUCUGGUUCAGUCUCUCCUUUCACAAUUGAGAAAGGAUCUCCUUCCUCGAUCCAGUCUUUAUGGGAACUUUCAUUUGGCCACUCGACACUUCUCCAAAUCAAGUCUAUUUAUCCUACAUCUAAACAAUGUAUUAUGACGGUUUAAAAAAAUAUAUAUAUACACAAGUUUUGAAAAACACAAUAAUUAAUUAAUAAACUUUGUUUUUUAAUACUAAUUUCAACUCACAAUAUAAAAUAUAACAAACAUGCACUAAUUUGACAAAAGAAAAAAAUAAGAGUGAGAUUGAAGGGGCCAAGAGCCAUUGAAACAGCAAUAAACUCCUUAACAUAUAAUCGGGGCAUGCAGGGCAUGAGGAUCCAUACAAGAUCAAUAUCCAUUAGAAAUAAUUAAUUGAAGUUGAUCGCAUUCUUAUCAUCAUGCGUUAAUUUGUCUUGUGUGCCAAUCCCAAUUAUUGGAUUACAAUAAUCUCUUUCAAACGUAUGAUCCAUUCACUUCUGUAGAAGAGGCUCACUUUUGUCAUCCCAUGUACUUAGCCGAUUUUUGGCACCCUCCACCUGAAAAUUACGCGACAUAAUAAUAUAUAAUAAUAAAAAUGCUUGCGUAAUCCAAACACACACACACACAUAACCAAGGAGAGUGGCUUUUGUUUGAUUAGAGUGGUAAUUAAGAGGGAGACUAACAUAAUUAACAUUAUCAGAUGUUAAUUAGUGUGUACGUACCUCUUUAUUCCAAUCUGUUCUCCAAGUGACCCCCAGCAAAAUCAAAGUUUGCAGGACUGUGCCCCCCAACAUGCCUGACCAUAUACCCUGUAGAAAACAAUAACUAUAUAACAACCAUUCAUGAUAAAAAUCUCUACCACACUAUUUAGAACCCUCUUAAUUAAUUUUAAUUGUGAGUUUUAAUAUAAAAAUAUAUAUAUAUAUUUAUAAUCAUUUUAAAUGGACGUCAAUCUCUAUAAAUCAGAUAUAAUUCAUUUGAUUUACUACACUGAGAAGAAAAAAAUGAUGAAUGCGAUAGUUUUGUACCUUGGCACCAAGGUCAAAUGUAAAACCAAGAAGCACCCCUAGCGGAAUACCAAUAAGGUAGUAGCAUCCUACGUUAACAUAUGCAACAAAUGCUUGCCAUCCACAUCCAACAGCCACCCCUUCAGCAGGCACAAAAUUGAAGGAAACAGUUAGAUUUGAGAACAUAUGUACUUAUAUAUCAUAAUGAAGACCACAUGAAGUUCCAUCUUCGACGACAGAACAGUACUUAAGCUUUGCUGUAAUUAAUGACAACCAUUGAUGUUUCCCUUCUUCUUUCCUCGAUUUUGUCAACAUUCCAAUGCUACCUCCCUUGGCUUCGGAAUUAUGCAAUUACUUGUCUUAUGAAGACAUAAAAUUAAGAUUUUUUUCCCCUGAGAGACACUUUGUUGCAAUGACAAGAGGCAACAGCAAAGGUUUUAAUUCCGGUACACAAUGAUUGAGGCCAGAGCCUGCCGCCUUUGGUACUUUACUGUUUUUUUUUUAAUUACUGAAUGAAAAUUAGAAUAUCACUUGUUUAAUAAUUAUUAUGAUUAAAAAAACACCUCCCAUUAAUAUUUCACUCCUAUAUAUUCAGUCAUUUUGCAGUAAAUUAUCUGUGCUUGGUAUCGCUAACCCUCAAGAGUGAUGUAUUACAGCACAAUUGCUAAACUAAAUUAGUAACUGCAGAAUUUAUUAGAGAAGAUGGCAGCUAUCAAAGAAGCUAUUGAGGAAUAUUUAACUGCGAUUCAAUUAUUAUUUUAACUGUUUUUAAUUUCAAAAAACAUCAAAUUUAGAUUUUGGGUAUUUUUAGAUGAUUUUUAUAUAUUAAUAUAAAAAUUUAAAAAAUAUUAUUUCAAUAUAUUUCUAAAUAAAAAAACACUAUCCACAGUACAACACUUACCGGAUAGUACAGGCUGAACACCGUUUAGUAUGAGAGUGACAGCAAGGAAUGGAGAGAGGUCAGAGGCAGCUUUAGCAACAACUUCACCUUCUGUGAAGAUAUAGCUAAUGGAAUCUCGAAAUAUCAGCACAAUAAUGGCUGCGAUUACUGAAACUACAAAUGAGCAUGAAGUCACCACAAGGACUGAAAAUGACGCUGAUUUUGGAUGUCCUGCUCCUAGCUCAUUGCUCACUCUCACACUGUUUAAGACCAAGUAUAUGUUAAUUGCCUAUCUUCAUGUAAAUAAUGGUGCUCCUAUAUAUGUAUGUAAAAUCGCAAUUCCCCUACAUGUUGUACACUGACUUUAGGACAAUAUCAUGGUGUGUUGAAAAUUAUAUCUGCGAGCGUCCAUACAUAAGCAGAUGAGAAACAUAAUAAUUUCAAACCAGUUAACCUAUUUAUUGACAAGACAUCAUGAUGUCCUACUGUUUUUUAAACAACUGUAAUAAUUGAUGGGUGUACGAAGUUUCAUGGAUGGAACAAUUAUGGGAUUAGUUGAUAGAUAUAGAUUGUUUUACAUCUAUAUCAAUUAUUCCAAUAAUUGUUUUAUUCUAUAUAAGUUUUUCCAAUUAUAGUAAUUAAUCAAACAAAAAAUAUAGAGCCUGAAAGAUCAACAAACCUUGCAGCAGCAUUAAAUCCAACUGAAAUCAUGAAAACCCAUCCAGAUAUUGUCAUGCUGCAUUAAAGAAGAGAGGAAUGAAUAGUGUUCACAAGAAGUCCAUAGUACUGUUAGCAAGAUCGACAUUGUCAAGCACCAUACCUUUUCCUUGAAUUUCUUUUCUUGAAAGUAGCAAGAAAUAAAAUAUUCCGAAAGAACCAAGUCUAGUUAAUUACUUACCAAACUGAGAGUGAGUCUAAUGCAACCUCAGCAUUUUCAAGCAAUCCAGCAAUCAGGACUAAAAUCUGAAAGUACCACGUCUCUAAACAUAACAUUACUGCUGAUGCAGCAGACAGUCUGAAGAAGCUCCAAAGCCCACUAAAGGCCUUCACGCUAAAACUUUUCCAUGUGUUUCUACACUUCUUGCUCAUUACAAUGUACACAAACUGAGCCACCACAAUGAUCCACCAAGAUAAACUCAACACAAGACCUGCUCCUAGUAAGCCCCAGUUCCAUUUGAAGACUGCAAGCCAGGUGAGCAAAACAUGCACCACAAGUGCACCUAGUGAUAUGUACGCACUAGGUGCGAUUAUGCUUUGUGCUUGCAAGAAUUUUUGAAUAGGAAAGUUGGCAGCAUAAGCGAAAAUUUGAGGGAUGAGUCCAAAGACAAAAACUGCAGCUGCUGAUGCUAUAUUGACUGGCUCCCCAAGUAAGAUCAAGAUAGGUUUGGAAAAUAUAUAGAUCAUCAUUAAGGGGAUCCCAGCUGCCAUGAGGAGAACAGUUGAUCUUUGGAGGUAUAUGCCUAGCAUUUCAUGUCUAUUUGCUCCAUAUGCUUGGCCACACAGAGUUUCUACUGCACUUCCCAUACCAAGCUGCAACAAGAAAAAAACUUAUUUAGCAAAAGUAGAGGAGAAUUCUCCACUUGAUAUAGAAAGAAAAAACAAGAAGUAUAAAGAAAGACAAACCGAUGGAGGAUUAUGCAUGAAGUUCUUUACACUACUUCCAAAUAUCCUAACUAAAGCUUAAAAGGGUAAAAAGGAAAGGAAUAAACAAAAGAGAGAGAAGAGAAGAAAAGAGAAUGAUCAUGACCAUUCAUUACAUGUGCAAGAGCAGAUAGAGAUCAGGAGGUAUUAAUUACCAUAAGGCCAUAGGCAAAAACUUGGAUGCCAGUGUUACCAAGAGAGACAGCAGCAAGCUCAAGAUUUCCAAGGUGACCGCAAAAGAUCUGAGUAGACAUGGAAACAACGUUAUUGAGCAAGUAAACUAUCACAGCUGGAGCUGCAAGGUGGAAAAGCAAUUUCAGUUCAACCCAAGAAGCUGAACGGAUUCUCUUAGAGUAUGGUGCUUCAGUAUCUGUUAGUAUUUGUUCAAGCUCAUCGCUCACUGUCUCAUGAUCAUCAUGGACAGAGAGUUUAAAGCUUAAUCUCGGAGGAU
Molecule: long non-coding RNA, 14519 nt
Filed under: Populus trichocarpa (black cottonwood)
Lineage: Eukaryota; Viridiplantae; Streptophyta; Magnoliopsida; Malpighiales; Salicaceae
Description: long non-coding RNA (PTRI_LNC002633)
Source: RNAcentral